GCUCGCGUCCGAUUAGCUUGUUGGCGGGGUAACGGCCCACCAAGGCUACGAUCGGUAGGGGUUCUGAGAGGAAGGUCCCCCACAAUGGAACUGAGACACGGUCCAUACUCCUACGGGAGGCAGCAGUGAGGAAUAUUGGUCAAUGGGCGGAAGCCUGAACCAGCCAUGCCGCGUGCGGGAAGGAGGCCCUAUGGGCUGUGAACCGCUUUUGCCUGGGGGCAAUAAGGGCGUCGUGCACGUCCGAUGAGAGUACCAGGCGAAUAAGCAUCGGCUAACUCCGUGCCAGCAGCCGCGGUAAUACGGGGGAUGCGAGCGUUAUCCGGAUUCAUUGGGUUUAAAGGGUGCGUAGGCUGUGCGUCAAGUCAGGGGUGAAAUUCCGGGGCUCAACUCCGGGGCUGCCCUUGAUACUGUCGCGCUGGAGUGCGGAUGCCGCCGGAGGAAUGAGUGGUGUAGCGGUGAAAUGCUUAGAUAUCACUCAGAACACCGAUUGCGAAGGCAUCUGGCGAAUCCGUAACUGACGCUGAGGCACGAAAGCGUGGGGAUAGAACAGGAUUAGAUACCCUGGUAUUCCACGCCGUAAACGAUGAUGGCUAACCGCCGGCGACACACUGUCGGUGGCCAAGCGAAAGCGAUAAGCCAUCCACCUGGGGAGUACGUCGGCAACGAUGC
RNAcentral lists this ribosomal RNA (669 nucleotides) under uncultured Bacteroidota bacterium. RNAcentral describes it as "bacterial SSU rRNA". It matches the Rfam family "Bacterial small subunit ribosomal RNA", at positions 229 to 897 of the family's 1533-position model. The record is from RNAcentral. Lineage: Bacteria; Pseudomonadati; Bacteroidota.